This 484-nucleotide ribosomal RNA is filed under the name uncultured bacterium. Its description in RNAcentral is "partial 16S ribosomal RNA". It matches the Rfam family "Bacterial small subunit ribosomal RNA", at positions 30 to 507 of the family's 1533-position model. The record is from RNAcentral.
AUUGAACGCUGGCGGCAGGCCUAACACAUGCAAGUCGAGCGGAUGAAGGGAGCUUGCUCCUGGAUUCAGCGGCGGACGGGUGAGUAAUGCCUAGGAAUCUGCCUGGUAGUGGGGGAUAACGUCCGGAAACGGGCGCUAAUACCGCAUACGUCCUGAGGGAGAAAGUGGGGGAUCUUCGGACCUCACGCUAUCAGAUGAGCCUAGGUCGGAUUAGCUAGUUGGUGGGGUAAAGGCCUACCAAGGCGACGAUCCGUAACUGGUCUGAGAGGAUGAUCAGUCACACUGUAACUGAGACACGGUCCAGACUCCUACGGGAGGCAGCAGUGGGGAAUAUUGGACAAUGGGCGAAAGCCUGAUCCAGCCAUGCCGCGUGUGUGAAGAAGGUCCUCGGAUUGUAAAGCACUUUAAGUUGGGAGGAAGGGCAGUAAGUUAAUACCUUGCUGUUUUGACGUUACCAACAGAAUAAGCACCGGCUAACUUCGUG